This 429-nucleotide ribosomal RNA is filed under the name Bacillus cereus. Its description in RNAcentral is "bacterial SSU rRNA". It matches the Rfam family "Bacterial small subunit ribosomal RNA", at positions 24 to 441 of the family's 1533-position model. Lineage: Bacteria; Bacillati; Bacillota; Bacilli; Caryophanales; Bacillaceae. The record is from RNAcentral.
UCAGGAUGAACGCUGGCGGCGUGCCUAAUACAUGCAAGUCGAGCGAAUGGAUUAAGAGCUUGCUCUUAUGAAGUUAGCGGCGGACGGGUGAGUAACACGUGGGUAACCUGCCCAUAAGACUGGGAUAACUCCGGGAAACCGGGGCUAAUACCGGAUAACAUUUUGAACCGCAUGGUUCGAAAUUGAAAGGCGGCUUCGGCUGUCACUUAUGGAUGGACCCGCGUCGCAUUAGCUAGUUGGUGAGGUAACGGCUCACCAAGGCAACGAUGCGUAGCCGACCUGAGAGGGUGAUCGGCCACACUGGGACUGAGACACGGCCCAGACUCCUACGGGAGGCAGCAGUAGGGAAUCUUCCGCAAUGGACGAAAGUCUGACGGAGCAACGCCGCGUGAGUGAUGAAGGCUUUCGGGUCGUAAAACUCUGUUGUUA